AGUUUUAACUGUUGGCAAAAAGUCCAGAUUAAAAGGAGAUAAAGUUAUAAAAAUAAGCAAGUCCUUACACACUCAUGACAUAAAAUAAUUUCAUACAUGUUUAAUCAGUAGAACCAAAAAUAAUUACAUUGUGUUUAUUCUUUUACCGUCUUCUGUUCAUUUUCUUGGGAUUUACUACGUGGAAGGAAUCUGCCACCGUUAGAAGUCUUGAUCUCCCAUUUUGAACAGAUGGCAAUUAAUAAAAAAUAGAUGCCUACCAUAAUUAAAGAUGGGAGCCCUGGAACUAAUUUCUAAUAAAAAUAACCUUUUGAUAUUCAUCUCUGAUAAAAAACAGAGUGUGUUCUAGUGACUAAGAUUGAUCUUCCAUUGCAGGCUAUAAUGGAAGUGUCAAAUUCAUGAGCGUAUAGUAAGGUGGGAUGGUAGCUGGUUAGAAAACCAUUACCAAUGAGUGCUGAAAAACCAAUCCUCCAAAGAGAGCCAUUCAUUACGUCCAGAAUGAGUGGCAUACAGGUAUCGGUGUAUUCUUGCAAUACAGAAAUAUCUGGAGAAUAUUGCUCAAAACGGAGCAUUGUAUUUUAAUGGGGUAUCAUAGUGACCAAAUGGGUGCAACCAGAAAAAAAAAGUUUAAAAUCCUCAAAUUAGAUGGGUAAAACAAUUUAGGAGAGAGAAUCUGGAAACGAAGAUAUAAUG
Molecule: long non-coding RNA, 690 nt
Organism: Physeter macrocephalus (sperm whale)
Lineage: Eukaryota; Metazoa; Chordata; Mammalia; Artiodactyla; Physeteridae
Exons: 3
Source: RefSeq, a predicted model, not a curated record